AUUGAACGCUGGCGGCAUGCCUUACACAUGCAAGUCGAACGGCAGCACGGGAGCAAUCCUGGUGGCGAGUGGCGAACGGGUGAGUAAUAUAUCGGAACGUGCCCAGUCGUGGGGAUAACGUAGCGAAAGCUACGCUAAUACCGCAUACGAUCUAUGGAUGAAAGCGGGGGAUCGCAAGACCUCGCGCGAUUGGAGCGGCCGAUAUCAGAUUAGGUAGUUGGUGAGGUAAAGGCUCACCAAGCCGACGAUCUGUAGCUGGUCUGAGAGGACGACCAGCCACACUGGGACUGAGACACGGCCCAGACUCCUACGGGAGGCAGCAGUGGGGAAUUUUGGACAAUGGGCGCAAGCCUGAUCCAGCAAUGCCGCGU
RNAcentral lists this ribosomal RNA (371 nucleotides) under uncultured bacterium. RNAcentral's name for it is "bacterial SSU rRNA". It matches the Rfam family "Bacterial small subunit ribosomal RNA", at positions 30 to 402 of the family's 1533-position model. The record is from RNAcentral.